GACGAACGCUGGCGGCGUGCUUAACGCAUGCAAGUCGAACGGUAAGGCCCUUCGGGGUACACGAGUGGCGAACGGGUGAGUAACACGUGGGUGAUCUGCCCUGCACUUCGGGAUAAGCCUGGGAAACUGGGUCUAAUACCGGAUAGGACCCUGGGAUGCAUGUCCUGGGGUGGAAAGCUUUUGCGGUGUGGGAUGGGCACGCGGCCUAUCAGCUUGUUGGGGGGGUGAUGGCCUACCAAGGCGACGACGGGUAGCCGGCCUGAGAGGGUGACCGGCAAGCCAGGGACUGAGAUACGGCCAAGACUCCAACGGGAGCCAGCAGCGGGGAAUAAUGCACAAUGGCAGCAAGCCUGAUGCAACGACGCCGCGUGAGGGAUGACGGCCUUCGGGUUGUAAACCUCUUUCAGCACCGACGAAGCGCAAGUGACGGUAGGUGCAGAAGAAGGACCGGCCAACUACGUGCCAGCCGCCGCGGUAA
RNAcentral lists this ribosomal RNA (478 nucleotides) under uncultured bacterium. RNAcentral's name for it is "partial 16S ribosomal RNA". It matches the Rfam family "Bacterial small subunit ribosomal RNA", at positions 28 to 523 of the family's 1533-position model. The record is from RNAcentral.